This 253-nucleotide ribosomal RNA is filed under the name uncultured bacterium. RNAcentral describes it as "partial 16S ribosomal RNA". It matches the Rfam family "Bacterial small subunit ribosomal RNA", at positions 524 to 776 of the family's 1533-position model. The record is from RNAcentral.
UACAGGGGGUGCAAACGUUGCUCGGAAUCAUUGGGCGUAAAGCGCACGUAGGCGGUUCGUUAUGUCGGAUGUGAAAGCCCUUGGCUUAACCGAGGAAGUGCAUCCGAAACUGGCGAGCUAGAGUACGAAAGAGGAUCGCGGAAUUCCCGGUGUAGAGGUGAAAUUCGUAGAUAUCGGAAGGAACACCAGUGGCGAAAGCGGCUUCCUGGUCCGACACCGACGUUCAGGCACGAAAGCGUGGGGAGCAAACAGG